RNAcentral lists this transfer RNA (61 nucleotides) under Cerophytidae sp. BMNH 900085. Its description in RNAcentral is "tRNA-Val". Lineage: Eukaryota; Metazoa; Arthropoda; Insecta; Coleoptera; Cerophytidae. The record is from RNAcentral.
CAAAUUAAAGCUUUAUGCAUUUUUAUUUACACUAAAAGAAAUUAUUUAUUAUAUAAUUUGA